CAGCCACAUCACGUUGAAAAACCGGUUUCCAUAUGAUCACUGAAGUUAAGCAAUAUCAAACCUGGUCAGUACCUAGAUGGGUGACCACCUGGGAAUAUCAGGUGCUGUAAG
Acanthosepion pharaonis is the source of this 111-nucleotide non-coding RNA. Lineage: Eukaryota; Metazoa; Mollusca; Cephalopoda; Sepiida; Sepiidae. The record is from the annotation of a GenBank genome assembly.